GGAUGGGGAGAGAGCGGCCUGAGAAGAGGAGGUGGCUAGAAAGAGGAAGGGAGGAAGAACAAGACUGAGGAGUCUUUUAAGAGCGUGAAACCUGAGGAGCAAAUGUCCCAGAAGGUUUGAGGAAAGGUUCACUGGGAAAUGCACUGCAGGAAACCCCUGCAUGGCCUCUCAGGAAACCCUACCAUGGAGAUCACAUUAGGCCUGAAAAUAUUUGCAGUUACAUAUGUUUCUUUGAAUGCAAGACCAAGUGGAGGCCAUCUUCCAGGGAGGGCUGGUCACACCAACUGCAAGCACAAUUUUAAUCUGUCAUCCACAAAGCAUCCUAGAGGAUGGCGCCUGCAUACCCUUCCUGCCUUGUUUCC
This 362-nucleotide long non-coding RNA is filed under the name Homo sapiens (human). Its description in RNAcentral is "non-protein coding lnc-EXD2-5:1". The record is from RNAcentral. Lineage: Eukaryota; Metazoa; Chordata; Mammalia; Primates; Hominidae.